GCUCCAGAUUUCCUCUUGCACCCGUUCAGGUUACUCCUCCGUUACAGUGGAUCUCAUGCGUUAAGUGUGUUUUACUAAAUUGAGAAGUCAUCUAUUAAACCAACCUGAAAACCACAAAGUACUGAUUUAUUGACUUGCUUGUAUAUGAUGUUGCGUGUUAUUAACUGUAAUAACCCAGAUAUAUAAAAAAAAAAAGAAGAAAGAAACGAAGAAGACUCUUGUUGGGAGUCUUCUUCCACCUGAGUCACCGGAGGAGAAGUUGGAAUCCGAGGGGGAUUCGACCUCUCCUCCACUCUAUAAGACCCCCUCUCCCCCUCCUAAACAACCCAUAGUGAUUACCGAUUUCUCUCUUUCCUUUCUCUUUGUUUUCUCCAGUUGAAGUCAAGGCCUCCCGUACUUGUGCUCGUCGGAAAUUGGAGCUGACGACAUUGUCGG
Molecule: long non-coding RNA, 435 nt
Filed under: Elaeis guineensis (African oil palm)
Lineage: Eukaryota; Viridiplantae; Streptophyta; Magnoliopsida; Arecales; Arecaceae
Description: long non-coding RNA (EGUI_LNC006654)
Source: RNAcentral